UCAAAUGCUUUACAUCUUAGUAUUUAGUUUCAACAAACAUAUCAGGUUUAGCUUUUACCAGUGAUAACAAUAUAACAGAAACGUUAUAGUAUAAAGAUUGUCGGAUAUUUGGUAUUGUUUUAGUCGAAAGGUUGUAGCUUUCAGCACAGUUAAUACUGUAAAAAAAUGGAUGGAAACAUCAAAUGCUGACUCGUUUGGUUACUAGGAUGAUGGCUAAGUGGUGGAUUUAUUGCGCUGUAAAGUUUGCAUAAAAAGAGGAGAGAAAACAUGCGAAAAAAUUUCCCUCAUACAUUUAUAACUGAAUCAGCGGUUGUAACGAAAAACACUGUCUUAAAUCAUAUGAAUUUUUUCACGUUUAAAAUAUUAAUUUAGCAAUUAGCGCUGUAU
Xenia sp. Carnegie-2017 is the source of this 387-nucleotide long non-coding RNA. RefSeq lists it as uncharacterized. NCBI's taxonomy places the organism in Eukaryota, Metazoa, Cnidaria, Anthozoa, Malacalcyonacea, Xeniidae. The transcript is spliced from 3 exons. The record is from RefSeq and is a predicted model, not a curated record.